AUUCGAUUAGAGUUUGAUCCUGGCUCAGAUUGAACGCUGGCGGCAGGCUUAACACAUGCAAGUCGAGCGGUAGCACAGGGGAGCUUGCUCCCUGGGUGACGAGCGGCGGACGGGUGAGUAAUGUCUGGGAAACUGCCUGAUGGAGGGGGAUAACUACUGGAAACGGUAGCUAAUACCGCAUAACGUCGCAAGACCAAAGAGGGGGACCUUCCGGCCUCUUGCCAUCAGAUGUGCCCAGAUGGGAUUAGCUAGUAAGUAGGGUACUGGCUCACCUACGCGACGAUCCCUAGCUGGUCUGAGAGGAUGACCAGCCACACUGGAACUGAAACACGGUCCACACUCCUACGGGAGGCAAAAGUGGGGAAUAUUGCACAAUGUGCGCAAGCCUGAAGCACCCAUGCCGAGUGAGUGCAACAAUGCCUUUGGCUUGUAAAGCACGCGCACCGGAGACGGAAGGUGGAUACACUUAAUUUUGCACAGCAGCGUGACGAAGAAGUAGUAAAAAGAGCAGCGUUCGACUAAUCGCUCAUGACCUGAAAUCUCAUUAGUACAUACAUGAAAGAUGUCAAAUCGUCUAAAUCAAGAGGUUACUUGCGUUCAAUAAGAGCCGAUGAAAAAGAUGUAUAUCAUCGAGAGAAAAUAACGGCGGCGGUUAUUUCAAGCACGGCAAUGUUAGAUAGCCAAUACAAUUGCAAUGAUAGUCGUUUUGAGGAAAACGCACACAAAAGCAAGAUCCAAAUAACCUUUGUACGUCGAUCAAUCCUUAUAC
RNAcentral lists this ribosomal RNA (769 nucleotides) under uncultured bacterium. RNAcentral's name for it is "bacterial SSU rRNA". The stretch from base 10 to 519 matches the Rfam family "Bacterial small subunit ribosomal RNA", at positions 9 to 546 of the family's 1533-position model. The record is from RNAcentral.